UCAAUGCAAGCCUGAAGAGAAAGCAAUUUCUUCCUCCGAAGCCAUGGCAUAUGAGUUGUACAGAAAUACCACUUUGGGAAACAGUCUUCAGGAGAGCCUAGAUGAGCUCAUACAGUCUCAACAGAUCACCCCCCAACUUGCCCUUCAAGUUCUACUUCAGUUUGAUAAGGCUAUACAUUCAGCAUUGGCUCAAAGGGUCAGGAACAGAGUCAAUUUCAGGGGUUCUCUAAAUACGUACAGAUUCUGCGAUAAUGUGUGGACUUUUGUAUUGAAUGAUGUUGAAUUCAGAGAGGUGACAGAACUUAUUAAAGUGGAUAAAGUGAAAAUUGUAGCCUGUGAUUGUAAAAAUACUGGCUCCAAUACUACAGAAUGA
Non-coding RNA from Castor canadensis (American beaver), 373 nucleotides. The record is from RefSeq and is a predicted model, not a curated record. Lineage: Eukaryota; Metazoa; Chordata; Mammalia; Rodentia; Castoridae.